CGGAGUGGACGCAUCACUGGUGUUCGGGUUGUCAUGCCAAUGGCACUGCCCGGUAGCUAAAUGCGGAAGAGAUAAGUGCUGAAAGCAUCUAAGCACGAAACUUGCCCCGAGAUGAGUUCUCCCUGACCCUUUAAGGGUCCUGAAGGAACGUUGAAGACGACGACGUUGAUAGGCCGGGUGUGUAAGCGCAGCGAUGCGUUGAGCUAACCGGUACUAAUGAACC
RNAcentral lists this ribosomal RNA (223 nucleotides) under Escherichia coli. RNAcentral's name for it is "partial 23S ribosomal RNA". It matches the Rfam family "Bacterial large subunit ribosomal RNA", at positions 2693 to 2910 of the family's 2925-position model. Lineage: Bacteria; Pseudomonadati; Pseudomonadota; Gammaproteobacteria; Enterobacterales; Enterobacteriaceae. The record is from RNAcentral.